This 208-nucleotide unclassified non-coding RNA is filed under the name Hevea brasiliensis (rubber tree). The record is from RNAcentral. Lineage: Eukaryota; Viridiplantae; Streptophyta; Magnoliopsida; Malpighiales; Euphorbiaceae.
AAGAACAUCACAAUUGAGGAGUCGCCUGUUCAACCGAUCCCCGGCAGCAUUAUCUAGAGCUAGGAAUCCCUCUCUUGCUACGUUAUCUACAGCAAGGAAUUUCCAGUUUCCUCUGGGCAUGGACAUAGAUAUGAGACUUGAUAUAUUGGAGGCAUUAGAGGAAUUCAGUGAUAUGAGUAUGACGACUAGUCGCAUCCUUCAAGUUCAG